RNAcentral lists this long non-coding RNA (3086 nucleotides) under Coffea arabica (coffee). RNAcentral describes it as "long non-coding RNA (CARA_LNC005754)". Lineage: Eukaryota; Viridiplantae; Streptophyta; Magnoliopsida; Gentianales; Rubiaceae. The record is from RNAcentral.
CCAUCAGCAUUAGCUCUUCUUUUCCUGCUCCAAACAGCCGACCAAGAGGAAGAGAAAAACAGCUUCAAUUUCUUCUCCAUUUCUUUACUAAAUCCUCACCAAAUCACCUCCAACUUCAACCACACUUUGCUAAGCAUUUGGGGAUUAUCUUAAGCUCCCAAAGAGCCUGCUUUCCACGGUUUUUCUUGAGCAUCUUUGGACCGAAAUUUCUGUUUAAGUCAUCAACAAAAGUAAGUAACGAUCAACCUUGAUAAUCUUGAUUUAUGGAAGUUCUAUUACACUUAUAAGUUCAUUUAAUCAUGUGGGUAGCUUGUUUAUGUUGGAAAAAUGGUUGUGUGGGCUCUAUGAACUCCCACAUUUGAUGGAUGGACUGAUUUGGUGAAUGAUGAUGUUAUUAAUGUUAGUUUGGUGCUUAAAUUAGUGAAAUAAUGUUGGGUUGUCGAUAGAAACUUAAGGAUGGUGCAAUGACCAAAAGUGACCAUUUUGCCCUGCUAUGUUCAUGCACUUUGAUGCAAAAUUUUGAGGUUCUAAUGGCUUGUUUAUGAUGUAUACAUGUUAUAUUGAGUGUGUGAAAAGUUUCAUUGAAAAAUAACAUGAUUUCGUCACCCAAAUGUGUUGAUUUCGAAAGCUUAGAAAACUGGAAAAUGGUUCCCGUAACUGCCCAGGCAGUCUUUUUCUUUUUGCUAUAACUUUUUACUCCGAUGUCGAAAUCGAGUGCCAUUUAUGGCACUGGAAACUAGACAUUCCCAUCUUUCCAAUGGUAUAAAAUGCACAUUCUGAUUCCACUUGAACAGUCCGUGCCAAUCAUUUAAACAUGACUGUCCUGUUUCUCGUGUACACCGGAACCCUGUUUUGAACAGCGAGUUAAUGCUCAAAAAUGAGUUAGUUGUAGACAGAUUUUGGAAACGAUUUCUUCUAUGAAAUUGUAGCCUUAGGGAUUUAGUUUUCAAUGCCGCAAACUAUGCUCAAUUCCGAGUUGAAAUGAGUAAUUUAUGACCAGAUUUCGAAACUGACUCUGUAGGCGAAAACCCUCAUUUUGGACAGAUUGUAACCAAUAUUGAUUUGGGCCUUGCUAUUUGAAAGUUUUGGUGUAAAUCACCUACCAAACACAUCUUGGAUGAUUAUUAGAUCUUGUCUACACCAAUGAACCAUGUUUGAGGAAUUUUCCUUGGCCAAAUGCUUGAAAACGGAAAAACGGAAGUCCAAGGCAGAUUUGCCUUGAAACUCCUUGGAACUUUAGUGGUUUUGUUAACCAUCUUUUCGUACAUAUUUUUCUACGAAAUUUUACAGAGAAAUAGUCCCUAUAUGGUAGUAUUAUACUGCUAAAUUUGGUACCAUUUUGAGUCCGUUUCGCUGCUCAACUAAACUUCCAAAGUUCAUGAUUUGAGUUUGGAAAACCCUUGAUUAACAAGGAAAUCUUAGUAACUUUGAGCUACCAUAUCUUGGUGCUCAAAACUCCGAUUCUUGUUCCGCUUGUUUUGUUUUAAACCUAGAUUGCAACUCUAAUAGAGUUCCAAAUUUUAGAGGUUAGUUCAAAUCAAGUGAAUUUUAUCAAAUUUUCAAAGUUGGCCAAAAAUCAACCUAAACCUGUCUUAAGUACCCCAAAAUAGCAACUUUGAGACAAUUUUUGAAUACCUUCCGUUUGGAAUCAUGGAAAAGUGUAUUCUAGAAAUUUUUAGUACUUUAGAAGACGUUUCCAACGGUACCAAGUUUUCCAAUUUUGGAAUCACAGAGAGAGAGAUACAAUUUUUCAAAGAUAGCCCCUUAAAACUGAAAUUCUGGAACCUGAUGAGAAACGAGUUUUUGGAAACUUUUCUCUACCCUUUGAUAAUGAUUAAUCGUUUUGAACUCGAGUUCGUGAAGAAAAUUAGUUUUCUUGUAUUAAUUAAAUCCUCACUUUUGAACCAUUAUUUUGAGUGGUUAAGGUUCGUGUUUGAGGUAUUAACUAGUCAAAUCAAGUGUGCUUUCUUUUUUGAAUAAUACGUGAUUGUGAGUGAGAAAUAUUUGUUAAUUGUCCGGGCACUCAAGGAGAUUUCGAAGGGAAUCUCGGUGCGGACACCUAAAGUUGUUUGCUCACUUAUUUUGAAUCGGUGAGUGUCAAGUGCAUGACUUGAUGUGUUUACUUGAUUUAUCCUGCUUAUAUACUUGAAUAUCACUUGAUGAGACGAGUGUGUACUUUAUCGCACUCGAUCUCCUUUAUUCGAACUUUAUUUGCAUUAAACUUGGUUUCAAAGUCGAUUUGAGUGAAUCUCGUCGACUAAAAUAUACUCGUUUUCGUGUACAUGUCGUGUUGUAGUGCAUGUCGUGAAUGUCGUGCGUGUCGUGUUGUCGGGUAGAGUGAACCUCCUCCUCGACUUAUAGGGACGCCCAAUUCUCUUUGGCUAAUCUUGCGACUCGAGCUGGCAUGGGCUUGGUCGAGAAGCUUGAUGAACUAAGAGAAUAACAAAACAAAACUUGAUCUUUUGAGAUCUUGUUCGGCAUACUCGGCGAGUAUCACCCUUUUCGUACGUGUUUUGUUACGGAUCCGAGAGGGUGGAAUGUUGGCUGGAGGUUGUAAGUGAAGCUUCUACGGAUUUCAAAACCUACCCGAUUGACGGAGUGUCAACUCGUGGAGGUCGCGGAUUGAGCAUUGACAAAGCAUGUGGAAAUUAGCUCCUGAGAGCUCCUGUAUCCUACCUAAGUGUGCUUAAAUUUGUUAACGUGAAUUACCUGAAUUUAUCGCUUUAUUUAUGGUAUAAGUGUUAUUGAUACUUGAACUACGUGCUUGCAUGACUUUCUUGGCCUCACUGAGUAUUGGCUCAUCCUAUUAGUUUGUUUUCCUUAACAGGAACCGGAAUGGAAGAAGUUAAGAAAUGCCGACCUGAGGCACUUUUGUAUUAGUGUCUUGACUGUAAUCGACUAGACACUUUUGGAUGUUAUAUAUUUUUGGGGAAAGUGAUUGUAUCUCGAAUUUGUGAUGUAAGACUGAAUAUUUAUGUAUGGAAAUAACUUUGUACCUUUAUUCCGACUUACAUUGUUGGUAUUAGAUUUUGAGUUUGAAUUGGAAUUGUCUCGAAUCCUGGCGAGAGUUGGGCAGGCGUCCCGCG